Molecule: transfer RNA, 64 nt
Filed under: Kryptolebias sepia
Lineage: Eukaryota; Metazoa; Chordata; Actinopteri; Cyprinodontiformes; Rivulidae
Also listed under: 1 other name
Description: tRNA-Tyr
Rfam family: tRNA
About the family: Transfer RNA (tRNA) molecules are approximately 80 nucleotides in length. Their secondary structure includes four short double-helical elements and three loops (D, anti-codon, and T loops).
Source: RNAcentral
UAAGAUGGCUGAAAUAAGCGGUGGAUUGUAGCUCCAUAUAUAAAGGUUCAAGUCCUUUUCUUAU